Long non-coding RNA from Salmo salar (Atlantic salmon), 1554 nucleotides. RefSeq lists it as uncharacterized. The record is from RefSeq and is a predicted model, not a curated record. Lineage: Eukaryota; Metazoa; Chordata; Actinopteri; Salmoniformes; Salmonidae.
CAAGGUUUAUUUGAGCUAUGGUCAGCGCCAUUUUAAAUUGCCAUAGUAAUGACGUCACUGGUAGGAAUCAGCAAAUUGUCUGUGGUAUUGAGUUUUCGCAUGGAGGGUGAAUCGAAGAGAGUGAGGUUAGGUGUGGACAACAAGUAGUAAUUCAAACAUGAACUGUAUAGAGCCAGGCUGUAUGAAUUGGCUCCCAAAAAAAUCCCUCGGUAAACUACCAUCGGCUGCCCAAGGACCCACAACUUUUGAAGAAGUGGCUCCAUGUCCUGAAGAGGAAAGACGUGCCAGCUCGAGCAAGCAGGAUCUGCAGACAUCACCUCGCAGAGGGAGACUUCACGAUGAAGGGCACUUUCGAUGUGGCAACCGGGAGUUUCUGAAUGGAAAGGAGUCAUUGGCCUACAUUGAAACCCUCUGCUUGCGCCUCCAUUUGACAUUGAGGGUUAUGGUGUAGGGGUUACUGACCGACCAUCAUCAACAUCGCUGACUUUGGAGUCAAGCAAAAGUGACUGAAUGGAGGAGGCGAUGCGAGUCAAUGCAAUGGAGCCUGAGGAUGACAUCUCCAUCCCGGAAAAUGUUUUCAUCCUGGAGGAGACUGUGCAGGAGGCAGGAAAGAACAGUUAGUACAGCAUGCCAAACUGACCCCUAGGUGCCAGAUUGUUCCUGUGCUGCGGUGGAGAAGAGGUCCACUGGGACCAUCACUAAAGAGCUCAGCUAGAUUGCGCUGACGACCAUCAGUAUACAACCGAGUCCUGCCCCUAUACGCCACAGAUGGAGCUAACGGAGAGUGAGAUCAGUGAAGAUCAGAACUCGCUGUAUGAACCUGAGAGCUCAGAAUCACAAUCAUCACAGUGCGACUAAAGAUAUACUAUUAAUCACUUUGGGGGAGCGAGCUGGUGUUCUGAAAAUGGAGAAGGAGCAGGUCAUUCAACAGUGAAUUCAAAAGAUACACCCACCCAUUAAGGGAAUUGGAGUGAAAUUGUUUUUCCAGAUUUCUUUUUUUACUUGUUUCAAUGGAUGUGCUACUCUGUAUUGGUUCUGCUGUUCCGACUCUCUCUCAACCUAUUUAUGCUCAGCUAUGAAAAGCCAACUGACAUUUUCUCCUGAGGUGUUGAACUGUUGCACCCUCUAUAGCCACUAUGGUUAUUAUUUUGAUGUAAAAAGGGCUUUUGUAAAAUACAUUUGGUUGAUUGUUUGCUGUGCUGGAUGCUGUGUAUUCACUAACUUUCUGAAUGACGGAAAUGUUUAUAGUAUCUGUAACAUAUCUUGGUGUGUAUUUAAUCUGCAUCUUAACUUCUUAAAGUGGCAAUCAGCAGUAGAAACAAUAAAAGUGUCUCCCUGCUCCUCUUUCGGUAAAAAGCUGAGAAAUGGGACUAGAGAAAUGUAACCACUCAAAUUCAUAGACAGAGCUAUAGAUGCAAGGACUGACCAUCCAUGAUAUCAACAUUGUAAUCCUGUUUCUAUUAUCUGUUUCCACUACCAUGUACGCAGUUCGCUUUGGAUAAAGGUGUCUGCUAAAUGACAUACUAUUAAAAUCUACUUUGACUCUGCCAACUA